AGAGACUCAGUGAAAUUGAAUUCCCCGUGAAGAUGCGGGGUUCCUGCGGUCAGACGGAAAGACCCCGUGCACCUUUACUACAACUUCGCACUGGCAUCAGGAUUGUGAUGUGCAGGAUAGGUGGUAGGCUUUGAAGCAGGAACGCCAGUUUCUGUGGAGCCUCCCUUGAGAUACCACCCUUCGCACUCUUGAUGUCUAACCGCGGUCCGUUAUCCGGAUCCGGGACCCUGCGUGGCGGGUAGUUUGACUGGGGCGGUCGCCUCCUAAAGCGUAACGGAGGCGCGCGAAGGUUGGCUCAGAGCGGU
RNAcentral lists this ribosomal RNA (305 nucleotides) under Kryptoperidinium foliaceum. Its description in RNAcentral is "partial Bacterial large subunit ribosomal RNA". It matches the Rfam family "Bacterial large subunit ribosomal RNA", at positions 2027 to 2331 of the family's 2925-position model. Lineage: Eukaryota; Dinophyceae; Peridiniales; Kryptoperidiniaceae. The record is from RNAcentral.